RNAcentral lists this transfer RNA (76 nucleotides) under Hilsa kelee (kelee shad). Its description in RNAcentral is "tRNA-Leu (UUR)". It matches the Rfam family "tRNA". Rfam says of the family: Transfer RNA (tRNA) molecules are approximately 80 nucleotides in length. The record is from RNAcentral. Lineage: Eukaryota; Metazoa; Chordata; Actinopteri; Clupeiformes; Clupeidae.
UGUUGGCGUGGCAGAGCUCGGUAAAUGCAGGAGGCCUAAGACCUCCCCUCCAGAGGUUCAAAUCCUCUCUCCAACU